This 589-nucleotide ribosomal RNA is filed under the name uncultured bacterium. RNAcentral describes it as "partial 16S ribosomal RNA". It matches the Rfam family "Bacterial small subunit ribosomal RNA", at positions 355 to 1375 of the family's 1533-position model. The record is from RNAcentral.
UGGGGAAUUUUGGACAAUGGGCGAAAGCCUGAUCCAGCAAUGCCGCGUGUGUGAAGAAGGCCUUCGGGUUGUAAAGCACUUUUGUCCGGAAAGAAAUCCUUGGCUCUAAUACAGUCGGGGGAUGACGGUACCGGAAGAAUAAGCACCGGCUAACUACGUGCCAGCAGCCGCGGUAAUACGUAGGGUGCAAGCGUUAAUCGGAAUUACUGGGCGUAAAGCGUGCGCAGGCGGUUUGCUAAGACCGAUGUGAAAUCCCCGGGCUCAACCUGGGAACUGCAUUGGUGACUGGCAGGCUAGAGUAUGGCAGAGGGGGGUAGAAUUCCACGUGUAGCAGUGAAAUGCGUAGAGAUGUGGAGGAAUACCGAUGGCGAAGGCAGCCCCCUGGGCCAAUACUGACGCUCAUGCACGAAAGCGUGGGGGAGCAAAACAGGAUUAGAUACCCUGGUAGUCCACGCCCUAAAACGAUGUCAACUAGUUGUUGGGGGAUUCAUUUCCUUAGUAACGUAGCUAACGCGUGAAGUUGACCGCCUGGGGAGUACGGUCGCAAGAUUAAAACUCAAAGGAAUUGACGGGGUCAUAGCUGUUUCCU